This 75-nucleotide transfer RNA is filed under the name Stenotrophomonas sp. RNAcentral's name for it is "tRNA-Val". It matches the Rfam family "tRNA". Rfam says of the family: Transfer RNA (tRNA) molecules are approximately 80 nucleotides in length. Their secondary structure includes four short double-helical elements and three loops (D, anti-codon, and T loops). Lineage: Bacteria; Pseudomonadati; Pseudomonadota; Gammaproteobacteria; Lysobacterales; Lysobacteraceae. The record is from RNAcentral.
GGGCUGUUAGCUCAGCGGUAGAGCAUGGCCUUCACACGGCAAGGGUCACAGGUUCGAUCCCUGUACCGCCCACCA